Molecule: transfer RNA, 70 nt
Filed under: Eurysternus sp. KM-2017
Lineage: Eukaryota; Metazoa; Arthropoda; Insecta; Coleoptera; Scarabaeidae
Description: tRNA-Asp
Source: RNAcentral
AAGAAUUUAGUUAAACUUUAUAUAACAUUAGUUUGUCAAACUAAAAUUAUUUACAUUAAAAUAAUUCUUA